CCAGCAUAGAUAACCUCAGGAGGUCACUCUCCCUGGUUCUGUCUUAAGAGGCAGAGGGAACACAGGGCUACGGCCAUGUACAUAGUCAUUUUCCAUGAUUCUGAAGAAGUUGGCUCGGAGCCUGCAUGUACAUAU
Molecule: small nucleolar RNA, 135 nt
Filed under: Octodon degus (degu)
Lineage: Eukaryota; Metazoa; Chordata; Mammalia; Rodentia; Octodontidae
Description: Small nucleolar RNA SNORA73 family (ENSODEG00000022758.1)
Source: RNAcentral